Regulatory RNA element from Clostridium sulfidigenes, 96 nucleotides. It matches the Rfam family "THF (Tetrahydrofolate) riboswitch aptamer". Rfam says of the family: THF riboswitch presents a pseudoknot that joins P1-P2 and the loop of P3 and two THF binding. The record is from Rfam. NCBI's taxonomy places the organism in Bacteria, Bacillati, Bacillota, Clostridia, Eubacteriales, Clostridiaceae.
GGCAGAUUAGAAGUUCGUGCGUUAAGUGCUGGGUGAACAGGGAAUUGUCACCAGACGAAAAGGAAACUUGCGGUACUUACUUCGAUUCCCACUGCU